Molecule: unclassified non-coding RNA, 244 nt
Filed under: Hevea brasiliensis (rubber tree)
Lineage: Eukaryota; Viridiplantae; Streptophyta; Magnoliopsida; Malpighiales; Euphorbiaceae
Source: RNAcentral
CGUGUUUUUCCGGCCAGAGAUCAAGUUGCUCGGUGACUAGCAAAGGGAACAUAUACCCUUCAUAAAAUGUACCAUGCCUCUUGCUUAAGAAGUUCCAUUUGCCUAGUUCAUCCUGCCAUAUUCAUCAUAUUACUCAACAUGGCCAAGACCCCCAGCCUCUUCAAGAGACUCCCUAGAAGCUGCUUCUUCCACAGAUUCAUCAAGCUCCCAACCGCCCUUGGGGAACAUCAUUCCUUGACCCUUU